GAUUUCAAGUGAAAAAGUUAUCAAUAACAAAGUUAAAUAACUCAUCAAGAUCUAAAACUUUUAUUUUGGUCGUUUCUUCAUCUGAUAAAAUGUUAGUAACAUUGUUCACAAAUUUUACAUAUAUGUGUUAUAGUUUAUAAAACCAGAUAAGAGAUAUGUCAAUUUUGUGAACAAUGUUACUAUACUUUAUCAAAUGAAAAAAUGACCAAAAUAAAAGUUUUAGAUCUUGAUGAGUUAUUCAACUUUGUUGUUGAUAACUUUUUCAGUUGAAAUC
Molecule: microRNA precursor, 274 nt
Filed under: Oryza sativa Indica Group (long-grained rice)
Lineage: Eukaryota; Viridiplantae; Streptophyta; Magnoliopsida; Poales; Poaceae
Description: MIR821 microRNA precursor family
Rfam family: MIR821 microRNA precursor family
Source: Rfam by way of RNAcentral